CCUACGGGUGGCUGCAGUCGAGAAUCUUCCGCAAUGGACGAAAGUCUGACGGAGCGACGCCGCGUGCUGGAUGAAGGCCUUCGGGUUGUAAACAGCUGUCAUAGGGGAGGAAAUUUUGACCGAUCCUAAGAGGAAGCACAGGCUAAGUUCGUGCCAGCAGCCGCGGUAACACGAACUGUGCGAACGUUAUUCGGAAUCACUGGGCUUAAAGGGUGCGUAGGCGGUCUUGUAGGUCAGAUGUGAAAUCCCACGGCUCAACCGUGGAAUUGCGUUUGAAACCACAGGACUUGAGUAAGAUAGAGGUAAGCGGAACUGAUGGUGGAGCGGUGAAAUGCGUUGAUAUCAUCAGGAACACCGGUGGCGAAAGCGGCUUACUGGGUCUUUACUGACGCUGAGGCACGAAAGCUAGGGGAGCGAACGGGAUUAGAUACCCUGGUAGU
Molecule: ribosomal RNA, 440 nt
Filed under: uncultured bacterium
Lineage: Bacteria
Description: bacterial SSU rRNA
Rfam family: Bacterial small subunit ribosomal RNA
Source: RNAcentral